Molecule: non-coding RNA, 93 nt
Filed under: uncultured Enterocloster sp.
Lineage: Bacteria; Bacillati; Bacillota; Clostridia; Lachnospirales; Lachnospiraceae
Description: Glycine riboswitch
Rfam family: Glycine riboswitch aptamer
About the family: This family represents the bacterial glycine riboswitch. Glycine riboswitches usually consist of two metabolite-binding aptamers domains with similar structures in tandem.
Source: RNAcentral
CCACUCUGGAGAGUCUCCCUCAAGGGGAGCGCCGAAGGUGUAAGGCCGGGCCUUUUGGGCUCUGACCGAUCUCUCAGGCAAAAGGACAGGGCA